AGCUYUUUGAUAUAWAUAAAGAGUAUGGCCUGCCCAGUGAGACUCCUUYUYUUAUUAAACGGCUGCAGAAUAUUAACUGUACUAAGGUAGCAUAAUCAUUUGUCUUUUAAUUAAAGACUAGUAUGAACGGCUGCACGAAAUAAAACUUUAUUAUUAAUAUUUUAUAAAAAUUGAUCUUUAAGUAAAAAAGCUUAAAUAAAAUAAAAAGACAAAAAGACCCUAUAGAGUUUUAUUUUACAUCUCUUUUAUUAAAAGAAAUUAAAAUUUAGUUGGGGCAACUAAAAAAAUCAUUUUUUUAUAAUUUAACACACUAUUUAAUCCUUAUAACAUUUAUCAUUUAUUAAAUAAUCUAAAACAAAUUACCUUAGGGAUAACAGCGUAAACUCUUUUUGAGAGUUCAAAUCGAAAAAAGAAAUUACGACCUCGAUGUUGGAUUAAAGAAACAUAAAAUARAAAAAAAUUUUAUUGGUAGUCKGUUCRACUAAWAAUCCUUUACAU
RNAcentral lists this ribosomal RNA (498 nucleotides) under Cavibelonia sp. 1 FB-2018. Its description in RNAcentral is "partial 16S ribosomal RNA". Lineage: Eukaryota; Metazoa; Mollusca; Solenogastres; Cavibelonia. The record is from RNAcentral.